RNAcentral lists this non-coding RNA (22 nucleotides) under Rattus norvegicus (Norway rat). The record is from RNAcentral. Lineage: Eukaryota; Metazoa; Chordata; Mammalia; Rodentia; Muridae.
CAGCUGUUGAGAGGAAACUUCU